UGUGGUGUCUCAUGCCUUUAAUCCAGGCAUGU
Molecule: non-coding RNA, 32 nt
Filed under: Mus musculus (house mouse)
Lineage: Eukaryota; Metazoa; Chordata; Mammalia; Rodentia; Muridae
Source: RNAcentral